Molecule: ribosomal RNA, 465 nt
Filed under: uncultured Klebsiella sp.
Lineage: Bacteria; Pseudomonadati; Pseudomonadota; Gammaproteobacteria; Enterobacterales; Enterobacteriaceae
Description: bacterial SSU rRNA
Rfam family: Bacterial small subunit ribosomal RNA
Source: RNAcentral
CCUACGGGAGGCAGCAGUGGGGAAUAUUGCACAAUGGGGGCAAGCCUGAUGCAGCCAUGCCGCGUGUGUGAAGAAGGCCUUCGGGUUGUAAAGCACUUUCAGCGGGGAGGAAGGCGUUAAGGUUAAUAACCUUGGCGAUUGACGUUACCCGCAGAAGAAGCACCGGCUAACUCCGUGCCAGCAGCCGCGGUAAUACGGAGGGUGCAAGCGUUAAUCGGAAUUACUGGGCGUAAAGCGCACGCAGGCGGUCUGUCAAGUCGGAUGUGAAAUCCCCGGGCUCAACCUGGGAACUGCAUUCGAAACUGGCAGGCUAGAGUCUUGUAGAGGGGGGUAGAAUUCCAGGUGUAGCGGUGAAAUGCGUAGAGAUCUGGAGGAAUACCGGUGGCGAAGGCGGCCCCCUGGACAAAGACUGACGCUCAGGUGCGAAAGCGUGGGGAGCAAACAGGAUUAGAUACCCCAGUAGUC